UUUCCGUAGGUGAACCUGCGGAAGGAUCAUUAUUGUAUAACCGAGGUGCGAGGGCUGUCGCUGACCCGAAAGGUCGUGCACGCCCGAGUGCCCUCACACACAUCCAUCUCACCCCUAUGUGCACCACCGCGUGGGUCCCCCUUUGGCUUGUUCGGAGGGGGGCUUACGUUUUCACACAAACUUUGUAUGCAGUGUAGAAUGUAUUUUUUGUUUUUGCGAUCACGCAAUCAAUACAACUUUCAACAACAGAUCUCUUGGCUCUCGCAUCGAUGAUGAACGCAGC
This 283-nucleotide unclassified non-coding RNA is filed under the name plant metagenome. RNAcentral's name for it is "partial contains small subunit ribosomal RNA, internal transcribed spacer 1, and 5.8S ribosomal RNA". The stretch from base 235 to 283 matches the Rfam family "5.8S ribosomal RNA", at positions 1 to 49 of the family's 154-position model. The record is from RNAcentral.